AUUGAACGCUGGCGGCAGGCCUAACACAUGCAAGUCGAACGAGUGGCGGACGGGUGAGUAAUGUCUGGGAAACUGCCCGAUGGAGGGGGAUAACUACUGGAAACGGUAGCUAAUACCGCAUACCAUCGGAUGUGCCCAGAUGGGAUGAGCUAGUAGGUGGGUUAACGGCUCACCUCGGCGACGAUCCCUAGCUGGUCUGAGGGGAUGACCAGCCAGACUGGAACUGAGACACGGUCCAGACGCCUACGGGAGGCAGCGAGGGGGAAUAUUGCACAAUGGGCGCAAGCCUGAUGCAGCCAUGCCGCGUGUAUGAAGGAGGCCUUCGGGUUUUAAAGUACUUUCAGCGAGGAGGCGUUACUCGCAGAAGAAGCACCGGCUAACUCCGUGCCAGCCGCCGCGGUAAUAC
Molecule: ribosomal RNA, 406 nt
Filed under: uncultured bacterium
Lineage: Bacteria
Description: partial 16S ribosomal RNA
Rfam family: Bacterial small subunit ribosomal RNA
Source: RNAcentral